This 350-nucleotide ribosomal RNA is filed under the name uncultured bacterium. RNAcentral describes it as "bacterial SSU rRNA". It matches the Rfam family "Bacterial small subunit ribosomal RNA", at positions 355 to 702 of the family's 1533-position model. The record is from RNAcentral.
UGAGGAAUAUUGGACAAUGGAGGCAACUCUGAUCCAGCCAUGCCGCGUGCAGGAUGACUGCCCUAUGGGUUGUAAACUGCUUUUAUAUAGGAAGAAACACUCCCACGUGUGGGGGCUUGACGGUACUAUAUGAAUAAGGAUCGGCUAACUCCGUGCCAGCAGCCGCGGUAAUACGGAGGAUCCAAGCGUUAUCCGGAAUCAUUGGGUUUAAAGGGUCCGCAGGCGGCCUGUUAAGUCAGAGGUGAAAGCCAACAGCUCAACUGUUGAACUGCCUUUGAUACUGAUAGGCUUGAGUUAUUGUGAAGUGGUUAGAAUGUGUGGUGUAGCGGUGAAAUGCUUAGAUAUCACAC